AUAUGGUCAAGUGAAGAAGCGCAUACGGUGGAUGCCUUGGCAGUCAGAGGCGAUGAAAGACGUGGUAGCCUGCGAAAAGCUUCGGGGAGUCGGCAAACAGACUUUGAUCCGGAGAUGUCUGAAUGGGGGAACCCAGCCAUCAUAAGAUGGUUAUCUUGUACUGAAUACAUAGGUGCAAGAGGCGAACCAGGGGAACUGAAACAUCUAAGUACCCUGAGGAAAAGAAAUCAACCGAGAUUCCCUUAGUAGUGGCGAGCGAACGGGGACUAGCCCUUAAGUGGCUUUGAGAUUAGCGGAACGCUCUGGAAAGUGCGGCCAUAGUGGGUGAUAGCCCUGUACGCGAAAAUCUCUUAGUCAUGAAAUCGAGUAGGACGGAGCACGAGAAACUUUGUCUGAAUAUGGGGGGACCAUCCUCCAAGGCUAAAUACUACUGACUGACCGAUAGUGAACUAGUACCGUGAGGGAAAGGCGAAAAGAACCCCGGAGAGGGGAGUGAAAUAGAUCCUGAAACCGUAUGCGUACAAGCAGUGGGAGCAGACUUUGUUCUGUGACUGCGUACCUUUUGUAUAAUGGGUCAGCGACUUAUUUUCAGUGGCGAGCUUAACCGAAUAGGGGAGGCGUAGCGAAAGCGAGUCUUAAUAGGGCGUCUAGUCGCUGGGAAUAGACCCGAAACCGGGCGAUCUAUCCAUGGGCAGGUUGAAGGUUGGGUAACACUAACUGGAGGACCGAACCGACUACCGUUGAAAAGUUAGCGGAUGACCUGUGGAUCGGAGUGAAAGGCUAAUCAAGCUCGGAGAUAGCUGGUUCUCCUCGAAAGCUAUUUAGGUAGCGCCUCAUGUAUCACUGUAGGGGGUAGAGCACUGUUUCGGCUAGGGGGUCAUCCCGACUUACCAAACCGAUGCAAACUCCGAAUACCUACAAGUGCCGAGCAUGGGAGACACACGGCGGGUGCUAACGUCCGUCGUGAAAAGGGAAACAACCCAGACCGUCAGCUAAGGUCCCAAAGUUAUGGUUAAGUGGGAAACGAUGUGGGAAGGCUUAGACAGCUAGGAGGUUGGCUUAGAAGCAGCCACCCUUUAAAGAAAGCGUAAUAGCUCACUAGUCGAGUCGGCCUGCGCGGAAGAUGUAACGGGGCUCAAACCAUACACCGAAGCUACGGGUAUCAUCUUAGGAUGAUGCGGUAGAGGAGCGUUCUGUAAGCCUGUGAAGGUGAGUUGAGAAGCUUGCUGGAGGUAUCAGAAGUGCGAAUGCUGACAUGAGUAACGACAAUGGGUGUGAAAAACACCCACGCCGAAAGACCAAGGUUUCCUGCGCAACGUUAAUCGACGCAGGGUUAGUCGGUCCCUAAGGCGAGGCUGAAAAGCGUAGUCGAUGGAAAACAGGUUAAUAUUCCUGUACUUCUGGUUAUUGCGAUGGAGGGACGGAGAAGGCUAGGCCAGCUUGGCGUUGGUUGUCCAAGUUUAAGGUGGUAGGCUGGAAUCUUAGGUAAAUCCGGGAUUCUAAGGCCGAGAGCUGAUGACGAGUUAUCUUUUAGAUGACGAAGUGGUUGAUGCCAUGCUUCCAAGAAAAGCUUCUAAGCUUCAGGUAACCAGGAACCGUACCCCAAACCGACACAGGUGGUUGGGUAGAGAAUACCAAGGCGCUUGAGAGAACUCGGGUGAAGGAACUAGGCAAAAUGGCACCGUAACUUCGGGAGAAGGUGCGCCGGUGAGGGUGAAGGACUUGCUCCGUAAGCCCAUGCCGGUCGAAGAUACCAGGCCGCUGCGACUGUUUAUUAAAAACACAGCACUCUGCAAACACGAAAGUGGACGUAUAGGGUGUGACGCCUGCCCGGUGCCGGAAGGUUAAUUGAUGGGGUUAGCUAACGCGAAGCUCUUGAUCGAAGCCCCGGUAAACGGCGGCCGUAACUAUAACGGUCCUAAGGUAGCGAAAUUCCUUGUCGGGUAAGUUCCGACCUGCACGAAUGGCGUAACGAUGGCGGCGCUGUCUCCACCCGAGACUCAGUGAAAUUGAAAUCGCUGUGAAGAUGCAGUGUAUCCGCGGCUAGACGGAAAGACCCCGUGAACCUUUACUAUAGCUUUGCACUGGACUUUGAAUUUGCUUGUGUAGGAUAGGUGGGAGGCUUUGAAGCGUGGACGCCAGUUCGCGUGGAGCCAACCUUGAAAUACCACCCUGGCAACUUUGAGGUUCUAACUCAGGUCCGUUAUCCGGAUCGAGGACAGUGUAUGGUGGGUAGUUUGACUGGGGCGGUCUCCUCCUAAAGAGUAACGGAGGAGUACGAAGGUGCGCUCAGACCGGUCGGAAAUCGGUCGUAGAGUAUAAAGGCAAAAGCGCGCUUGACUGCGAGACAGACACGUCGAGCAGGUACGAAAGUAGGUCUUAGUGAUCCGGUGGUUCUGUAUGGAAGGGCCAUCGCUCAACGGAUAAAAGGUACUCCGGGGAUAACAGGCUGAUACCGCCCAAGAGUUCAUAUCGACGGCGGUGUUUGGCACCUCGAUGUCGGCUCAUCACAUCCUGGGGCUGAAGCCGGUCCCAAGGGUAUGGCUGUUCGCCAUUUAAAGUGGUACGCGAGCUGGGUUUAGAACGUCGUGAGACAGUUCGGUCCCUAUCUGCCGUGGACGUUUGAGAUUUGAGAGGGGCUGCUCCUAGUACGAGAGGACCGGAGUGGACGAACCUCUGGUGUUCCGGUUGUCACGCCAGUGGCAUUGCCGGGUAGCUAUGUUCGGGAAAGAUAACCGCUGAAAGCAUCUAAGCGGGAAACUUGCCUCAAGAUGAGAUCUCACUGGAACCUUGAGUUCCCUGAAGGGCCGUCGAAGACUACGACGUUGAUAGGUUGGGUGUGUAAGCGCUGUGAGGCGUUGAGCUAACCAAUACUAAUUGCCCGUGAGGCUUGACCAU
This 2898-nucleotide ribosomal RNA is filed under the name Pseudomonas jessenii. RNAcentral describes it as "bacterial LSU rRNA". It matches the Rfam family "Bacterial large subunit ribosomal RNA". The record is from RNAcentral. Lineage: Bacteria; Pseudomonadati; Pseudomonadota; Gammaproteobacteria; Pseudomonadales; Pseudomonadaceae.